CCGAUCACCGAAGUUAAGCAACGCUGAGCCUGAUCAGUACCUAGAUGGGAGACCGUUUGGGAAUACCACGUGCUGUAA
Molecule: non-coding RNA, 78 nt
Organism: Acanthosepion pharaonis
Lineage: Eukaryota; Metazoa; Mollusca; Cephalopoda; Sepiida; Sepiidae
Source: the annotation of a GenBank genome assembly